RNAcentral lists this ribosomal RNA (296 nucleotides) under uncultured bacterium. Its description in RNAcentral is "partial 16S ribosomal RNA". It matches the Rfam family "Bacterial small subunit ribosomal RNA", at positions 30 to 334 of the family's 1533-position model. The record is from RNAcentral.
AUUGAACGCUGGCGGCAUGCCUAACACAUGCAAGUCGAACGGGGUGUAGCAAUACAUCCAGUGGCGGACGGGUGAGGAAUACAUAGGAAUUUGCCUUUAGGUGGGGGAUAGUCCGGGGAAACUCGGUUUAAUACCGCAUGAUGUCGCAAGACCAAAGCAGGGGAUCGCAAGACCUUGCGCCUUUAGAGAAGCCUAUGUCUGAUUAGCUUGUUGGUAGGGUAACGGCCUACCAAGGCGACGAUCAGUAACUGGUCUGAGAGGACGAUCAGUCACACCGGAACUGAGACACGGUCCGG